Molecule: transfer RNA, 87 nt
Filed under: Paracoccaceae bacterium
Lineage: Bacteria; Pseudomonadati; Pseudomonadota; Alphaproteobacteria; Rhodobacterales; Paracoccaceae
Description: Rhodobacteraceae bacterium (marine metagenome) tRNA-Leu
Rfam family: tRNA
About the family: Transfer RNA (tRNA) molecules are approximately 80 nucleotides in length. Their secondary structure includes four short double-helical elements and three loops (D, anti-codon, and T loops).
Source: RNAcentral
GCGGGCGUGGCGGAACUGGUAGACGCACGAGACUUAAAAUCUUGCGCCUUUAAUGGCUUACGGGUUCGAGUCCCGUCGCCCGUACCA